AUUGCAAAUGAUGAAGAACAAGACAGGGACAUCUGCACCCUCUUUUAUUAGAGUAUAUGAUGAUUUGUCUGUGGGAAUCUCUUUGAUGCUUU
Small nucleolar RNA from Erigeron canadensis, 92 nucleotides. RefSeq annotates it as small nucleolar RNA R44/J54/Z268 family. Lineage: Eukaryota; Viridiplantae; Streptophyta; Magnoliopsida; Asterales; Asteraceae. The transcript has a single exon. The record is from RefSeq and is a predicted model, not a curated record.